RNAcentral lists this ribosomal RNA (220 nucleotides) under Pseudomyrmex tenuis. RNAcentral's name for it is "partial large subunit ribosomal RNA". Lineage: Eukaryota; Metazoa; Arthropoda; Insecta; Hymenoptera; Formicidae. The record is from RNAcentral.
GAAUUUUAUAUAUAUAAUUUUAUUGGUUUUUUUUAAUUUUUAAGAUUAAAUAAGUUAUAAUAUUUGAUUGGGAGGAUCAUUAAAUUAGUUUAACUUUAAUAAUUAUAAUACUAUAAUUAAAGGAAUUUUUUUAGAUUAAUAUUUAAUUAUAUUAGAAUUAAUUACCUCAGGGAUAACAGCGUAAUAGUCUUAGGUAGUUCUUAUUAAUAAGAUUGAUUGC